This 269-nucleotide ribosomal RNA is filed under the name uncultured prokaryote. Its description in RNAcentral is "partial 16S ribosomal RNA". It matches the Rfam family "Bacterial small subunit ribosomal RNA", at positions 524 to 792 of the family's 1533-position model. The record is from RNAcentral.
UACGUAGGUGGCGAGCGUUGUCCGGAUUUACUGGGCGUAAAGGGAGCGUAGGCGGACUUUUAAGUGAGAUGUGAAAUACCCGGGCUCAACUUGGGUGCUGCAUUUCAAACUGGAAGUCUAGAGUGCAGGAGAGGAGAAUGGAAUUCCUAGUGUAGCGGUGAAAUGCGUAGAGAUUAGGAAGAACACCAGUGGCGAAGGCGAUUCUCUGGACUGUAACUGACGCUGAGGCUCGAAAGCGUGGGGAGCAAACAGGAUUAGAUACCCCAGUA